This is a non-coding RNA of Pelobates cultripes (western spadefoot toad), 117 nucleotides long. The record is from the annotation of a GenBank genome assembly. NCBI's taxonomy places the organism in Eukaryota, Metazoa, Chordata, Amphibia, Anura, Pelobatidae.
AGUUUUAAUGAAACAAAAGGAACAGCAACUUUUAACCUCCUAAGAAGUAUUUGAAAUGCUUGAAAAAGACCUCUUAGGAGGUCAAAACGUUGCUGUUACUUUUGUUUCAUUAAAACU